CUGUAACUCCAAAUUUAGUGGAGUUUGAUUCUGUGGAAAACUAACUCGAUUGCGGUCGUUUUGGUCCCAGUUUGGUGAAUUAUUGAUCCAAAUUGAGUUCUGUGCGUAGCUUUGAACUUGAGGCUCAGAAGUAGAUUUUGUGCAAAAUUUUGGUGGGGGGCAAAAUCCAACAAAUUAUAAAAUAGGGGGGGUAAAAUUCCGCAUUUUAAAAUAGGGAGAUAAAAUUCCGCAUUUUUCAAAAUAAGGGGGUAAAACUGCAUUUAAGCCACAAAUAAUUUAAUUUUUGUAUUAAAUCAGAGGGAAAAGAAAAGUAUUACAAAGUGGAUGAGAAAAAACAGAAAAUGAAAACGAUGAAAUUAGUGAAAAUCUUAUGCAGAUUGUAAUAAUUAAAGAAAAUCCAGCGCAGUUGGUCGCGAGGGUGAAGCUUUUUCAAUUUUCGUCACUCCUUCUUCUCUCUCUCUCCCCUUUCAAACUCUUUCUUUCUCUCUCGCUCUAGAUCAACAAUUCUCAGUUUUCUCUUCGAUUUUCGGAGCUGAAAGAUCCAUAACC
This 549-nucleotide long non-coding RNA is filed under the name Trifolium pratense (red clover). RNAcentral describes it as "long non-coding RNA (TPRA_LNC010890)". The record is from RNAcentral. Lineage: Eukaryota; Viridiplantae; Streptophyta; Magnoliopsida; Fabales; Fabaceae.